Molecule: long non-coding RNA, 695 nt
Organism: Beta vulgaris subsp. vulgaris (sugar beet)
Lineage: Eukaryota; Viridiplantae; Streptophyta; Magnoliopsida; Caryophyllales; Amaranthaceae
Exons: 3
Source: RefSeq, a predicted model, not a curated record
AGAUUAUCCACCUGUGUUUUGAAUGCACGAUGUUGUUGUUGAGAGGCUCAGCUACUAAAUCCACAAAGUCAUGAGGGAUACUGUGUACAGACUACUAUUUUUGCUGAUGAGGUACAACAUGCGAUGGAGGAGGUGGUAUAGGAGCGUCAAUGGGCGGAAAACUAACUUCACAAACAACUAAUAGCUUUUUGUGGGAGAAUCUUGAGUUCUCAACUAUGACAACCAAAUUUUCGUUGACUGGAGCACGCAACACUUUCCUUAGCUUGGAAAGUCAUGCAGGACCAUCGUCAGUUUCUUAUCGUGGAGCAGAAUAGUCUAAUGCACAACUUCAAGUGGUAGAAAUACAAUACUAAAGGAAAAAAUUCGCAAUCCGAAGCUCGAAUUGCUCAAUGAAUCCACAAAGAUUGUACUACAACUGCGAUGAUUGCAACACUUUUAGGUGGUGUGUUGGUAUUAUUGACCAUAACUCCAAUGUGAGACAAGAAGAGGAAGACGAGGCAAGUAAUGUGAACUUGAAGGAGGAAAUGAAGCUACUCAAGAAGAGAAUCAAACAACAACAAAAAAUGAUGCAAGGAGCAAUAAAAAAUAGGCGUAUUUAUGUUUGUGUUACUUAUUUUUGUAAUGAACAAAUGAAGGAAGAAUCGUAAUGUAGCACCAAAUUUGUAACAAAUAACAUUCAAUAUGCAAUAAUAUUA